Long non-coding RNA from Chenopodium quinoa (quinoa), 1078 nucleotides. RefSeq lists it as uncharacterized. The record is from RefSeq and is a predicted model, not a curated record. The transcript has 4 exons. Lineage: Eukaryota; Viridiplantae; Streptophyta; Magnoliopsida; Caryophyllales; Amaranthaceae.
CUCCGUUUAUUAAAAAAAAAACGGAGUGCAUAUCAUCUACUACUCCAGUUAUCAAAAAAAAUGGAGCCUUAAAAUUUUUUGUUGGCCCGCCUAAAAUACUCUAAAUUUCCACCUCACUCUCGCCCUCGCCUUCAAUCUCUCACAUCGAAGAACAAUUUAGGGUUUUUCUCUGCAAAUUCUCUCUCAUCAAAUUCUGGAAGAUCUACGCUCUUUCACCGUCUCUUUCACUUCAAUUUAUAGCGCAUCUGAUUUCGUUGCUUGGAAUCCAUGCCUCCAUGCGUUACGGCGGCCAAUCGACGGUGUUCUAGAUCUUAACAACGACCAUUUCUACGAUCUUCUUGAAACAAUUUCGUAAGAAGCUUCCAAUAAUGGUGACUACUGCUCUAAUUUCACAUAAAUGUCAUUUUAUUGCAGGGCAGUAGCAGACUACAUUUCAAAGGAUCUUCCUUACUAACUAUCAGCAGCAUAGCAACACGGUACUUUACCAACAAAAAUCUAUUGAGGCAUAGCAGCAUAGUAAUAUGGUAGCAGAACCAGAAGAAAGCUUGGGUUACUUGUGAUUGCUGACGAAGUGUAUGAACACAUCACUUUUGGUACCAUUCCCUUUGAUUGAAUGGGAGAAUUUGCAUCGAUUGUGCCUGUGCUUACAGUGGGAUCUCUUUCUAAGAGGUGGCUUCUUCCUGGCUGGAGACUUGGCUGGCUUGUCACAAAUGAUCCAAGUGGCUUCCUACAAAAAUCUCAGUUUCUGAGGGUACAGAUGUGUUGGACGGAUUGGAGUAAGAAGCUCAUGGAUGCUGUUUAUAAUGCUGUAGUGGAACAUGAUUAGUUUCUUUCAGCACUGCUUGGUAGAAUUUUAGUGCAAGGAAUAGAAAUGGUUGAUUCCUUUAUAAAUCUUGAUGUAUAUUUGCUACAUAGUGAAUAAUUUGUUUUAUUAAUGUAUUUUUAACUAACGUGCAAUGAGUAUUAGUACUUAUAUCUACAACUCUUAAAAAGAGAGAAGUUCACCGUUAGACCUAUUAUGAACAGUAACGCAUUUCAAUUUCCAAUUUUGAACAGUGCCAAUUUUGAACAAUAGCAA